UUUGAUAUUUCUUUAAAUAUGUACUUAUAAGUAUUAUCAGUAGGAUCUAAACUUUUAAUUAUUAAAAGCAUUCUUAAUGAGAAUUAAUCAUUCGGUACACUCAUAAUGUAGUCGACUCAACUCUUACACCUAAUUGCUUGCUUAUAUGCUCAUAGGUAAAUUUACGUUUGCACUCUGAUUAAAUAUUAUGGAGAGUAAAGUGCAUAAUAACUGAGCCAACCAAUCAAUUCAGGCAACAAAGUCACUUUGAUCACUGGCUCAAGUGAAUCGGUAAAGCAACAGCUUUACUCUUUUCAUCUUUGGGUGCUAAAGUGGCCAUAGUUGGACGUGAUCAAAGUAAACUGGACAAAGUUGCUGCUGGAUGUGAAGCAAAGUCACCACAUCGCUACAAGCCAGUUGUUAUUAAGGCUGAUUUCGUUGCAGAUGAAGAUGUUGUAGGAACCUUUGAAGAAACCAUUUCUGCCCAUAAAAAAUUUUGGUUAACAGUGUUGGUUUUGCUGGUCGUGCUGAUUUCAACGAUCCUAAUCCCGAUCUUGAGGUGUUUAAUCGAGUUAUUGCAAGUUAAUAUUCGAUCUAUUAUUAUAUUAUUUUGACUGAAUUGUCUGUUCCAUUUCUCACCAAAUCUAAGGAACCGUUGUCAAUGUAUCUGCUAUUAAUAGCCUGACUGCGAAUUCACUCAUUGGGUUUAUGGUGUGUCCAAAGCUGCACUCGAUAUGUUCACCAAGUCAAUGGCUGGUAAAUUGGCUCCUGAUAUUAAAGUAAAUAGUAAAUUCAGUUAAUCCUGGUGGAGUUCAUACUCAUCCCCUUGAACCUUCAAUGUUGGAAAAAUUUAUAUCCAUGAAACCCUUAAAACGAAUUGCUGAACCAAUAGAGAUUGCUAACUUUAUCGCUUUCCUGGCAUCUGACGCUUCAAGAAACAUGACUGGUUCCAUUGUUGUUUCUGAUUCACGAUUUCUUUGUGCUGAUCCAUCCAGUCAAUCCUGGUGGAGUUCAUACUCAUCCCAUUGAACCAUCAUUGAUGGAGAAAUUUAAAGCUAUGAAACCCUUAAAUCGAAUCGCUGAACCAAUAGAUAUUGCCAAUUUAAUUGCUUUCCUGGCAUCUGAUGUUUCAAGAAACAUGACUGGUUCAAUCGUUGUUUCGGAUUCUGGAUUUCUUUGUGCUGAUCCAUACAAAGUACUCUCGGGGAAAUAAGCUUUGAAAUACAGUCAUGAUUAAAAAAGUUCAAACUUUGUUAA
Molecule: non-coding RNA, 1236 nt
Organism: Tetranychus urticae (two-spotted spider mite)
Lineage: Eukaryota; Metazoa; Arthropoda; Arachnida; Trombidiformes; Tetranychidae
Source: RefSeq, a predicted model, not a curated record